GAGGGUAUAGCUCAGUGGUAGAGCAUGUGCUUAGCAUGCACAAGGUCCUGGGUUCAAUUUCCAGUACCCCCA
This 72-nucleotide transfer RNA is filed under the name Camelus bactrianus (Bactrian camel). It matches the Rfam family "tRNA". From Rfam's summary of the family: Transfer RNA (tRNA) molecules are approximately 80 nucleotides in length. Their secondary structure includes four short double-helical elements and three loops (D, anti-codon, and T loops). The record is from Rfam by way of RNAcentral. Lineage: Eukaryota; Metazoa; Chordata; Mammalia; Artiodactyla; Camelidae. RNAcentral also lists the same sequence under 2 other names.